Molecule: ribosomal RNA, 446 nt
Filed under: uncultured bacterium
Lineage: Bacteria
Description: partial 16S ribosomal RNA
Rfam family: Bacterial small subunit ribosomal RNA
Source: RNAcentral
CCUACGGGUGGCAGCAGUCGAGAAUCAUUCACAAUGGGGGCAACCCUGAUGGUGCGACGCCGCGUGGGGGAAUGAAGGUCUUCGGAUUGUAAACCCCUGUCAUGUGGGAGCAAAUUAAAAAGAUAGUACCACAAUAGGAAGAGACGGCUAACUCUGUGCCAGCAGCCGCGGUAAUACAGAGGUCUCAAGCGUUGUUCGGAAUCACUGGGCGUAAAGGGUGCGUAGGCUGUUUAGUAAGUCGUGUGUGAAAGGCGCGGGCUCAACCCGCGGACGGCAGAUGAUACUGCGGGUCUAGAGGAAUGGAGGGGGAAGCGGAAGGCGCGGUGUAGCGGUGAAAUGCGUAGAUAUCGAGAGGAACACUCGUGGCGAAGGCGGGUUCCUGGACAUUAACUGACGCUGAGGCACGAAGGCCAGGGGAGCGAAAGGGAUUAGAUACCCGUGUAGUC